GGUGAGAUGGCCGAGCGGUCUAAGGCGCCACGUUAAGGUCUAUCCUUGAUUCCGAUCUACUAUCUAGAUUCCGUGGUCCGAAAGGGCGUGGGUUCGAAUCCCACUCUCAUCA
Triangularia setosa is the source of this 112-nucleotide non-coding RNA. The record is from the annotation of a GenBank genome assembly. NCBI's taxonomy places the organism in Eukaryota, Fungi, Ascomycota, Sordariomycetes, Sordariales, Podosporaceae.